UCCUCACUAGUAUAUCGGUUAGUAUAUUCGCCUCUCAGUCGAGAGCCGCUGUUGCGGAAGCACAGCGAUACCGCGAAAGAGCAGGGUUCAACUCCCUGGUGGGGAG
Molecule: non-coding RNA, 106 nt
Organism: Cutaneotrichosporon oleaginosum
Lineage: Eukaryota; Fungi; Basidiomycota; Tremellomycetes; Trichosporonales; Trichosporonaceae
Source: the annotation of a RefSeq genome assembly